AAGUCGUAACAAGGUCUCCGUAGGUGAACCUGCGGAGGGAUCAUUAAACAAAUCAAAUAAACCAUGAAAGAUUAACAUGAGAAUAAUAGUGUAAACUAUAAUCGAAUGUUAAUCUUUCUCAAGGUUGUAUAAAGAGAAAUUUGUGUAAGCAAAAAGUAUUUUUAUGCAGGAGUUAAUGUUGAUUUUCAAGUAUAUAUAAGAUUUCAUCUUUUGUUGCUUGAAGUUGAUAUUGCUCUAAUAAAGACAGCAGCAUCGCUAAACGCGAAGAUCUGUCUUUAUAACAAACGAUAUAUUAAAUUGACAAAUAAUGACAAAAUUUAAAUAAUCAACUUUUAACAAUGGAUCUCUUGGCUCUUAC
This 358-nucleotide unclassified non-coding RNA is filed under the name fungal sp. RNAcentral's name for it is "partial internal transcribed spacer region". The stretch from base 1 to 46 matches the Rfam family "Eukaryotic small subunit ribosomal RNA", at positions 1786 to 1831 of the family's 1831-position model. Lineage: Eukaryota; Fungi. The record is from RNAcentral.